AAAAUAUGUAAUUUAAAUAUUUAGAACAAAUCCAAAUGUUCAGAAUAUAUCUAAAACGGAAUAGAUGUAUCUAGGGAUUAGUCAGUUCACAAAAAAUUAUCCCUAGAUAUACAAUACAAAUGUCAUGAUAUUUGAUUGAAAAAUAAAUUAAAAAUGAAACUAAUCUUCUAUUCUAACUUUAAAAAAGACCUAACGUUAGGGAUUUCUCAAUAGGUAAUGUUGC
This 223-nucleotide long non-coding RNA is filed under the name Phaseolus vulgaris (common bean). Its description in RNAcentral is "long non-coding RNA (PVUL_LNC000689)". The record is from RNAcentral. Lineage: Eukaryota; Viridiplantae; Streptophyta; Magnoliopsida; Fabales; Fabaceae.